CCUGCUCUGGAAUGGAAUUAGUGUCCAUAAGGCUUCUGUCUGAUUGAGGUCUCACAUUGUCUGCUGAGUCUCUGGGCAUCCACCCCAUCACCAACCCUGGCUCUGAUGUAACCUUGAGCACCUGUGUGAUCCUGUAAGCCCUGGUCCUGGGUCCCUUCUUUUGCCACUCUGGACAUAUGUGCACACACUAGUAGAAUCUUUAUCAUACCAACUUAAGUUUUGGCUGCUGGUCUGCUGGCUUUGGAGAGAUCUUGAUUUCUCCUGUGUGAUCAUUUUAACUAAUGAGGGAGUAUCAAUCUCAUCUUUUUUCUUUCCUGUUGAAGAACCUGUAUGCAGAAUGGGAUUCUGCUUCUCAGUUCCUGCAUGCUUUGUGGAACACAGGGUGCUUAAGACACUCUGUUAAUAUACAUAGUCAGGAGCCCCCACAUGUCCAUCUUGCAUUUUGUGCAAAGUCAUGUAUCUCUAUUUCUGCUACAUAGGCUUCAGUGGAGCUGCCACAGGUAUGUGCUCUACUUACCUGGUCACUGACAAAUUCUAGUUGCAGAAUUUGAGUAUCCCAUAAUGAUUGAGGGAGAAGGUUGCUCUCUUAAUGAUGGCCCAACAGAAGAAGAUACCAUUAUCUUCAAAUGACCUAUUGUUUUAGCUGGUUUACUUGAACUUUUGAAUUUGACAAAUGAGAAAAAUAAGGAGAAUUUUGGGAUGGUUCCCUUACCUGCCACAAUCAUGAUCCUCAUACUUUUCCAUUAAUUCUCCACAAAAGAAUCCACUGAUAUUUCUAUAUCAUCUAUAUAGGAACAAAAACUGAAGACUCAAAUGGAUUUGAAUUUUCUGGGAUUUGAAAAAUAUAUUAAAAUGAAAAGAAAAAAAUAUUUUAUGUCGAUGGUGUUUUAUGUUAAUUGUAUUUACUACAAUUAACUACCAAAAGCUCAUAUUUAACAAAAAGGGAUCCUCAAUACUAAAGUAUAGAAGACUUGUAUAAAUAGGAACCAAGAUAGGGUGAGUCAUCAUUUAUAUAGGGCACAUGAGGUCCACGAUUAACACAGCUAGUAACAUUAUCCAUACAUGUUCCUCUUGUGCCACCAGCAGUGACCUGGAGAUGGCAGCAUGAAGGUCCUAGGGAAGCAAUCAACCUGUGCUGAGGAAAGCAUAAUUUAUUCAUCAGAACUCACAUCACAGAGGAAUCUUGGUUCUUAGUUUCUGGGAGCUAUUCUGGGGAAAACCUCCAGUGUCACUUUUUUUUUUCUUUUAAAAACCAACCAUGUGCCCUGCUUGUCUUUGUAACCAUUUUAGCUCCCCAAACAAAAAAUAAGCUAUUUCUGAGGAAAGAUGCUCCCCAGCCAGAUCAGUUCAUUCAGAAGCCAGAGAUUCACUUUCUGGAUGCCAGUAAGUGAAGGGAUCCCAGUAUCAUAAGACCUGUGUAAGAUGACUUCUGACUUUACUACUUCUAUCUCAAAGAUUCCCAAGUUACAAAGUUGAGACUUUAUAUUAAUAACAGUACUGUGAUAAUGUGGUUGUGUGAGUAUUCCCGUUAGCACACGAGGAAACUGAGGCUCAGAGAUAUUAAAUCACUGAAUCCUAAAUCAUACAGAAGCUUAGAAACCAAACCAGUGUCAACUUCCAUAUCAAUGUUCCAUGCUCCUGUUUUCAAGAAAAAUGUUUCAUGUACAAAGCUAGAAAAUCCAUAAAAUAAAUCCAAGAAAGAUUAAGGAAGACAGCUGUGACCCAGUACAGAUGGGAAGGAAUGGCAGCAGCUUCCACUGAUCCCUCUAACUCCACACCUCCUUUUUCUCUCCAGGAUCUCUGAUGUCAUCUAAGACCAUAACAUCCCAGGAAAAAGACACUCCUGAGACCACACUCCAAUUCUAGGGCACUGGUCCCUGGGAGAUCCUCUCAUUUCAGUCUCUCCAUGCAAAAUCUCUCCUUAGCCUGGCAAGAUCUAAGGAGGCUAGUACAGGGAAGGAAAGGACCUUCUCAAGUGACUAUAGUAUGGAUUGCACAGGAGAAACUAUCAGCUACUGGAUCAGCUUCUGCACUAAGCCAUGUGCACCCUGAAGUCACAUGUUCAACAUCCCUGCCAAAGAUCCACAAAUCCACAGCUGAAUAUCUGGGAGUGAAUUUCUCAACAUUUUCUUCUUCCACGUCCAGCUCCUCUUUCUCCUUCUGCCAAUUCUCUUCCUUUUUAUUUCCCUUUUUUCUUCCUUUAUUCUUCCUGGAAAUUUAUCUUCUGCUCCUGAAGUACUUGUGUUUCAAAGUCUUUUGCCCUGCCACACAGAUUAUUAGAGGGAAAACAAAACAAGUAAAACAUCAUGAGACAGAUUUCCUAGAUCUUCUACAAGGGACUCAGUAAAGAGAGAGCUAUGUUUGGAUAUGAUUCAACAGUAUAUUAAAGUAUUCCGGAGAUUUUUGCUCUGGGAAAUCUAAUUGGAGGAGAAGGAAAUCAAACCAACAAAUAUGCUUUGAGUACCUUAUUGCCAGGUCCUCUGCUGAGUGUUUUACUCCUGUUGAUGCAUGCCUUCCUCACAAAAAGCCUAUGAGGUAGGUCUGAUUAUUAUGAUUGUUAUUACACAAAGGGUACAUGGUAUGCUUAGCCCAUGUCUUUGUCCAAGAUUGUGUAGCACAAAGCAGCUCUGGACGUCAACUCAAGCAUUUUCACUCAGG
RNAcentral lists this long non-coding RNA (2658 nucleotides) under Marmota monax (woodchuck). Lineage: Eukaryota; Metazoa; Chordata; Mammalia; Rodentia; Sciuridae. The record is from RNAcentral.